This 207-nucleotide ribosomal RNA is filed under the name uncultured bacterium. Its description in RNAcentral is "partial 16S ribosomal RNA". It matches the Rfam family "Bacterial small subunit ribosomal RNA", at positions 568 to 774 of the family's 1533-position model. The record is from RNAcentral.
CUCGUAGGCGGCCAACUAAGUCAGACGUGAAAUCCCUCGGCUUAACCAGGGAACUGCGUCUGAUACUGGAUGGCUUGAGAUUGGGAGAGGGAUGCGGAAUUCCAGGUGUAGCGGUGAAAUGCGUAGAUAUCUGGAGGAACACCGGUGGCGAAGGCGGCAUCCUGGACCAACACUGACGCUGAGGAGCGAAAGCCAGGGGAGCAAACG